UACGGGGGGGGCAAGCGUUGUUCGGAAUUACUGGGCGUAAAGGGCUCGUAGGCGGCCAACUAAGUCACACGUGAAAUCCCUCGGCUCAACCGGGGAACUGCGUGUGAGACUGGAUGGCUUGAGUUUGGGAGAGGAAUGCGGAAUUCCAGGUGUAGCGGUGAAAUGCGUAGAUAUCUGGAGGAACACCGGUGGCGAAGGCGGGUCUCUGGGCCACUACUGACGCUGAGGAGCGAAAGCGUGGGGAGCGAACAGG
This 253-nucleotide ribosomal RNA is filed under the name uncultured bacterium. RNAcentral describes it as "partial 16S ribosomal RNA". It matches the Rfam family "Bacterial small subunit ribosomal RNA", at positions 524 to 776 of the family's 1533-position model. The record is from RNAcentral.